CCUACGGGCGGCUGCAGUGGGGAAUAUUGCACAAUGGGCGCAAGCCUGAUGCAGCCAUGCCGCGUGUGUGAAGAAGGCCUUCGGGUUGUAAAGCACUUUCAGCGGGGAGGAAGGCGUUAAGGUUAAUAACCUUGUCGAUUGACGUUACCCGCAGAAGAAGCACCGGCUAACUCCGUGCCAGCAGCCGCGGUAAUACGGAGGGUGCAAGCGUUAAUCGGAAUUACUGGGCGUAAAGCGCACGCAGGCGGUCUGUCAAGUCGGAUGUGAAAUCCCCGGGCUCAACCUGGGAACUGCAUUCGAAACUGGCAGGCUAGAGUCUUGUAGAGGGGGGUAGAAUUCCAGGUGUAGCGGUGAAAUGCGUAGAGAUCUGGAGGAAUACCGGCGGCGAAGGCGGCCCCCUGGACAAAGACUGACGCUCAGGUGCGAAAGCGUGGGGAGCAAACAGGAUUAGAUACCCGAGUAGUC
RNAcentral lists this ribosomal RNA (465 nucleotides) under uncultured Klebsiella sp. RNAcentral describes it as "bacterial SSU rRNA". It matches the Rfam family "Bacterial small subunit ribosomal RNA", at positions 338 to 795 of the family's 1533-position model. Lineage: Bacteria; Pseudomonadati; Pseudomonadota; Gammaproteobacteria; Enterobacterales; Enterobacteriaceae. The record is from RNAcentral.